CAGUAGCCGCGGUAAUACGGAGGGAGCUAGCGUUAUUCGGAAUUACUGGGCGUAAAGCGCACGUAGGCGGCUUUGUAAGUUAGAGGUGAAAGCCUGGAGCUCAACUCCAGAAUUGCCUUUAAGACUGCAUCGCUUGAAUCCAGGAGAGGUGAGUGGAAUUCCGAGUGUAGAGGUGAAAUUCGUAGAUAUUCGGAAGAACACCAGUGGCGAAGGCGGCUCACUGGACUGGUAUUGACGCUGAGGUGCGAAAGCGUGGGGAGCAAACAGGAUUAGAGACCCCAGUAGUCCCUGUCUCUUAUAA
This 301-nucleotide ribosomal RNA is filed under the name uncultured bacterium. Its description in RNAcentral is "partial 16S ribosomal RNA". It matches the Rfam family "Bacterial small subunit ribosomal RNA", at positions 509 to 809 of the family's 1533-position model. The record is from RNAcentral.